AACACAAGGUCUUGGUCUUAAACCUCUCAUUAUCUAAACUCCUUACUUAUACAUGCAAGCCUCAACACAACAGUGAAACAGCCCAUUACCACACCAUAAUGGAGCCGGUAUCAGGCCAACCCAUGACACCAAGCAAUAAAGCCACACCCACGGGCUAGCAGCAGUACUUAACAUUGGGCCAUAAGCGAAGCUUGACCGACCGCGGUUAUACGACAGACCCAAGAAAAUGACACCGGCGUAAAGCACGACUAAAACUAAGUCUUCACAUUAGCGGUAAAAAAAGGCUGGGCUGUAAAAAGCUAUAAGCUUUAAUAAACACACCCCGCUAAUACCCGGACCUUUUUGACCCGUGAAAGUCAGGACACAAACUAAGAUUAGAUACCUUACUAUGCCCGACCAUAACAAAACAACUAAACAACAAACCGUUCGCCAAAUAACUACGAGUAAAAACUUAAAACUUAAAAGACUUGACGGUACUUCACACCAACCUAGAGGAGCCUGUCCAAUAACCGAUGAUCCACGAUUAACCCAACCCACCCUGGCCCAACAGUCUAUAUACCGCCGUCGCCAGCUUACCUUGUGAAAGAAACAAAGUAAGCCCAAUAAUAAACCAUUAAUACGACAGGUCGAGGUGUAACCAAUGGGUGGGACAAGGAUGGGCUACAUUUUCUAAGCUAGAAAAAAACGAACAGACUAUGAAACUAGAAACCGAAGGUGGAUUUAGCAGUAAGCUAGGAAUAAACAAACCUAACCGAAACUAACGCMAUGAAGUGCGCACACACCGCCCGUCAUCCCUGAAAAACAUUCAACCUAUACAUAAACAACCAUCGUUUUAUCAAAACAGGGCAAGUCGUAACAUGGUAAGCGYACUGGAAAGUGUGCY
This 883-nucleotide non-coding RNA is filed under the name Pseudechis guttatus. Lineage: Eukaryota; Metazoa; Chordata; Lepidosauria; Squamata; Elapidae. The record is from RNAcentral.